Arabidopsis thaliana (thale cress) is the source of this 389-nucleotide long non-coding RNA. RefSeq annotates it as other RNA. The record is from RefSeq. Lineage: Eukaryota; Viridiplantae; Streptophyta; Magnoliopsida; Brassicales; Brassicaceae. The transcript has a single exon.
UAUAAGAUAAAGGGGAGAUUUGUCAAAAUGGGCAUAUUUGGGAAGGGAUCUUCGGAUUUAGGCAUUAUGUGCAGUACUAAUGUACAGUUGCCAUAUUUUCACCGAUUUAUGCCGAGAUUACCCUUACUUCAAUGGGCGUGAGUUUCACCGAUUUAUAACAUUUGUUUGUCGAUCAAAAGACAUCAAUAAAAUACAUAAUGAUUAGUCGAGAAUAAAGUGAGAAGCUCUUCAUUCUUCUUGAUAUGUUCAUGUAUGUCUCCCUGUGUUACCUGAACGUAUUUUUAAAAGUAGCUUAAACAAAGGAGAUUAUAAGAGAAAGAAGCAGGAACGAAGUAAAACACCUCCCAGUAAUGGUGAGAUUAAUGCAUUGUCGUACCUUCAAAACAGUU